This 119-nucleotide ribosomal RNA is filed under the name Lepisosteus oculatus (spotted gar). Lineage: Eukaryota; Metazoa; Chordata; Actinopteri; Semionotiformes; Lepisosteidae. The record is from RNAcentral.
GCCAGCAGCCACAUCACUCUGCAACUCACAACUGGCAACCCACUGAAGCUCAGCAGGUGUGAGCCUGGUCAGUACCUGGAUAGGAGACCUCCUGGGAAAAACUAAGGUUGCUGCUGGAA